Molecule: ribosomal RNA, 786 nt
Filed under: uncultured bacterium
Lineage: Bacteria
Description: bacterial SSU rRNA
Rfam family: Bacterial small subunit ribosomal RNA
Source: RNAcentral
UCGAACGCGAAAGUUCCCUUCGGGGAACAAGUAGAGUGGCGCACGGGUGAGUAACACGUAGGUAAUCUACCUUCGGAUCGGGAAUAACAACCGGAAACGGUUGCUAAUACCGAAUAAUGCAGCGGCACCUAAUGGUGACAGUUGUUAAAGCGGGGGAUCGCAAGACCUCGCGUCUGAAGAGGAGCCUGCGGCGGAUUAGCUAGUUGGUAAGGUAAUGGCUUACCAAGGCGAUGAUCCGUAGCCGGCCUGAGAGGGCGGUCGGCCACACUGACACUGACAUACGGGUCAGACUCCUACGGGAGGCAGCAGUCGGGAAUUUUGGGCAAUGGGCGAAAGCCUGACCCAGCAACGCCGCGUGAAGGAUGAAAUCCCUCGGGAUGUAAACUUCGCAAGAACGGGAAGAAUAAGUGAGAGCUAACAUCUCUUACGAUGACGGUACUGUCUGUAAGCUCCGGCUAACUCCGUGCCAGCAGCCGCGGUAAUACGGGGGGAGCAAGCGUUGUUCGGAUUUACUGGGCGUAAAGGGCGCGUAGGCGGCCACCGCAAGUCGACUGUGAAAUCUCCGGGCUUAACCCGGAAAGGUCAGCCGAUACUGCGGGGCUAGAGUGCAGAAGGGGCAACUGGAAUUCUCGGUGUAGCGGUGAAAUGCGUAGAUAUCGAGAGGAACACCUGCGGCGAAGGCGGGUUGCUGGGCUGACACUGACGCUGAUGCGCGAAAGCUAGGGGAGCGAACGGGAUUAGAUACCCCGGUAGUCCUAGCCUUAAACGAUGAAUGCUUGGUGUCUG